This 720-nucleotide long non-coding RNA is filed under the name Homo sapiens (human). RNAcentral's name for it is "HSALNT0064969". Lineage: Eukaryota; Metazoa; Chordata; Mammalia; Primates; Hominidae. The record is from RNAcentral.
AUCCAAAUGUUCUUCUACUACUGCUUCAUGGAAUUGUAGGUGAAACGUCUUAAGUGAAGAUUUUCAUUGGUCUUUUAAAAUAAGAUUGCUCCUGUGUUUCAUAGAUGGGAAAUCAUACUGAUGACUCAACCAUAUAUAGCAUUAUUUUGCUGGUUCAUGCUACCUCAGCGGAAACUGCCAAAGGUCAUCUGACAUAAUAGCUGAUGAAUUCAAGCCCAGUGGAUUUCAUUUGCAAUUUUCAAUUUACUGAGGCCUCCAAACCCCACGGUGAUAAAAGCUUCCCCUAUCGUGGCCUGUCACAAACAUCAAGAAACUGCACAAACCCACAAGAAAGAAAAAAGAGAAAGCUGUGCAUCAUCACAGCUAUAGAUAAGGAGAACAGGAAGAAAUGGUAUCAUGCAGGAAGAUGGGGAGCAGCCUGUGUGGCUAGUUCUCUAAAUGCCAAUUGAAACGAAAAGACUAUGAGGAACAAUCAAAUAACUUCCACAGAAUAACAACAUGUUUCUUUGGAGCUUUUAUGUGAAAAUUGCCUUCUAAUCUCUGACUUGACAUGCUCCCACACAAAAAUGUAAGUGUAAAUAUGCAAAUAAAUAAAUGAAUAAAUAAUCCUUGCUUACCUGGUCACUGGAAAGCACACUCUCUGUGCUGUAUUUACCACAGUUUUGCUUUACAAAAUGCAUGCUCAUAGAGGGUCUUUGAUCAUGGAAGUGUAGGCUCAGC